Zea mays is the source of this 586-nucleotide long non-coding RNA. RefSeq annotates it as MIR159cHG. The record is from RefSeq and is marked validated. The transcript has a single exon. NCBI's taxonomy places the organism in Eukaryota, Viridiplantae, Streptophyta, Magnoliopsida, Poales, Poaceae.
GUACUCGAGCUACUUCACAAGCCUCGAUGGCAUGCUACGGGAUGAAUGAAGCCAUGAAGAAGAAGAAGAAGAUGCAUGAUUAAGAAAGGCGAUCGAAGAGCUCCCUUCGAUCCAAUCCAGGAGGGGAAGUGGUCGGUUGCAGCUGCCGGUUCAUGGAUACCUCUCUGGUGCAGCAAUGGCCGCUGCUCACCUCUGCACUUGCAUGGGUGUGCAUGACCCGGGAGAUGAGCCCGCCAUCAUCUUUCCCUCGUGCUUGGAUUGAAGGGAGCUCCUCUCUGUCUGUCUGUCUGUCUCUCUCUCUCCCUUUCCUUCCCGUGGCGGUCUACUGAUAAUUUCUCGUCAUUUCUAUCUCUUACUUGCAGUUGCAUUGCAGACAUGGAUAUGCAUGCUAUUGCCUCCCAAGCGCCGGGAAACUUUAAUCUGGAUAAUUGGAUUCAUGCAUAAAUGAACCAGUAUGUAUAUAUAUACGUGUGUAUCACGUUUCAGGACAAGCCUGAUGUACAAUUUUGCUCUAUCUUUUUACUGUUUCAAUAACUUUUACAGAUUGUUCGUUUCAAUUAAAUAAAUAAUUAUAUAACAAGUUUUU